AAUUCUCAACCUCUACCAGCUUUGUUGCUUGGUCUUAGGCUUGGAUUUGGAGGUUUUCUGCGGGCCUGUCAAUGGGCCAGCUCCUCUGAAAUACAUUAGCAGUCUCUCUUUGUGGUUCAAUGACUAUUGGUGUGAUAAACUAUCUACACUUAUGGCUAACCAUGCUCACAAGCUGCUCUCUAACUGUCUGAAAGGACAAUACCAAAUGAAU
RNAcentral lists this unclassified non-coding RNA (211 nucleotides) under uncultured Agaricales. RNAcentral's name for it is "sequence contains ITS2". The record is from RNAcentral. Lineage: Eukaryota; Fungi; Basidiomycota; Agaricomycetes; Agaricales.